This 469-nucleotide ribosomal RNA is filed under the name uncultured bacterium. Its description in RNAcentral is "bacterial SSU rRNA". It matches the Rfam family "Bacterial small subunit ribosomal RNA", at positions 355 to 822 of the family's 1533-position model. The record is from RNAcentral.
UGGGGAAUAUUGGACAAUGGGCGAAAGCCUGAUCCAGCCAUGCCGCGUGUGUGAAGAAGGUCUUCGGAUUGUAAAGCACUUUAAGUUGGGAGGAAGGGCAGUAAGUUAAUACCUUGCUGUUUUGACGUUACCGACAGAAUAAGCACCGGCUAACUCUGUGCCAGCAGCCGCGGUAAUACAGAGGGUGCAAGCGUUAAUCGGAAUUACUGGGCGUAAAGCGCGCGUAGGUGGUUUGUUAAGUUGGAUGUGAAAGCCCCGGGCUCAACCUGGGAACUGCAUCCAAAACUGGCAAGCUAGAGUACGGUAGAGGGUGGUGGAAUUUCCUGUGUAGCGGUGAAAUGCGUAGAUAUAGGAAGGAACACCAGUGGCGAAGGCGACCACCUGGACUGAUACUGACACUGAGGUGCGAAAGCGUGGGGAGCAAACAGGAUUAGAUACCCAAGUAGUCCCUGAGCGGGCUGGCAAGGCG